RNAcentral lists this transfer RNA (87 nucleotides) under Candidatus Omnitrophota bacterium. RNAcentral's name for it is "Candidatus Omnitrophica bacterium (sediment metagenome) tRNA-Ser". It matches the Rfam family "tRNA". From Rfam's summary of the family: Transfer RNA (tRNA) molecules are approximately 80 nucleotides in length. Lineage: Bacteria; Pseudomonadati; Candidatus Omnitrophota. The record is from RNAcentral.
GGAGAGAUGCCUGAGUGGUUGAAAGGGACGGUCUCGAAAACCGUUAUAUCCGUAAGGAUAUCCAGGGUUCAAAUCCCUGUCUCUCCG